AGCAGCCGCGGUAAUUCCAGCUCCAAUAGCGUAUAUUAAAGUUGUUGCAGUUAAAAAGCUCGUAGUUGAAUUUCGGGAUCAGUAUGUUGGUCGUGCUUCGGUACGUACCGUCAUUACUGGUUUCUACCUUCUGAAGAACCUUGAUGUCAUUAAUUUGGUGUCUUGGGGAAUCAGGACUGUUACUUUGAAAAAAUUAGAGUGUUUAAAGCAAGCAUACGCUUGAAUACAUUAGCAUGGAAUAAUGAAAUAGGACGUUUGAUUCUAUUUUGUUGGUUUCUAGGAUCGACGUAAUGAUUAAUAGGGAUAGUUGGGGGCAUUAGUAUUCAAUUGUCAGAGGUGAAAUUCUUGGAUUUAUUGAAGACUAACUACUGCGAAAGCAUUUGCCAAGGAUGUUUUCAUUAAUCAAGAACGAAAGUUAGGGGAUCGAAGACGAUCAGAUACCGUCGUAGUCUUAACCAUAAACUAUGCCGACUAGGGAUCGGAUGAUGUUAUUUUUAAUGACUCAUUCGGCGCCUUACGG
This 520-nucleotide ribosomal RNA is filed under the name uncultured Glomus. RNAcentral's name for it is "SSU rRNA". It matches the Rfam family "Eukaryotic small subunit ribosomal RNA", at positions 569 to 1093 of the family's 1831-position model. Lineage: Eukaryota; Fungi; Glomeromycota; Glomeromycetes; Glomerales; Glomeraceae. The record is from RNAcentral.